This 371-nucleotide ribosomal RNA is filed under the name uncultured organism. RNAcentral describes it as "bacterial SSU rRNA". It matches the Rfam family "Bacterial small subunit ribosomal RNA", at positions 526 to 896 of the family's 1533-position model. The record is from RNAcentral.
CGGAGGGUGCAAGCGUUAUCCGGAUUCGACUGGGUUUAAAGGGUGCGUAGGUGGGCAGGUAAGUCAGUGGUGAAAUCUCCGGGCUUAACCCGGAAACUGCCGUUGAUACGUAUCUGUCUUGAAUAUCGUGGAGGUUAGCGGAAUAUGUCAUGUAGCGGUGAAAUGCUUAGAUAUGACAUAGAACACCCAUUGCGAAGGCAGCUAACUACACGAUCAUUGACACUGAGGCACGAAAGCGUGGGGAGCAAACAGGAUUAGAUACCCUGGUAGUCCACGCCCUAAACGAUGGAUACUCGACAUCAGCGAUUACACUGUUGGUGUCUGAGCGAAAGCAUUAAGUAUCCCACCUGGGAAGUACGACCGCAAGGUUG